Molecule: unclassified non-coding RNA, 404 nt
Filed under: soil metagenome
Description: partial contains 5.8S ribosomal RNA, internal transcribed spacer 2, and large subunit ribosomal RNA
Rfam family: 5.8S ribosomal RNA (bases 1-121)
Source: RNAcentral
GAUGAAGAACGUAGCGAAAUGCGAUAAGUAAUGUGAAUUGCAGAAUUCAGUGAAUCAUCGAAUCUUUGAACGCACCUUGCGCCCUUUGGCUAUUCCGAAGGGCAUGCCUGUUUGAGUAUCAUGAACACCUCAACCCUCAUGGUUUGCCAUGAUGGGCUUGGACUUUGGGGGUCUUGCUGGAUUGUAGUCAGCUCCCCUUAAAUGAAUCAGCUUGCCAGUGUUUGGUGGCAUCACAGGUGUGAUAAAUAUCUACGCUUGUGGUUUUACAUCAGAUAACCUUCAGUGAUGGAGGUUCACUGGAGCUCAUAAAGGUGUCUAUCCUCUGUGAGGACAGCUCUUUGAAUGUUUGAUCUCAAAUCAGGCAGGACUACCCGCUGAACUUAAGCAUAUCAAUAAGCGGAGGA